This 458-nucleotide ribosomal RNA is filed under the name uncultured bacterium. Its description in RNAcentral is "partial 16S ribosomal RNA". It matches the Rfam family "Bacterial small subunit ribosomal RNA", at positions 29 to 507 of the family's 1533-position model. The record is from RNAcentral.
AACGAACGCUGGCGGCAUGCCUAACACAUGCAAGUCGAACGAGACCUUCGGGUCUAGUGGCGCACGGGUGCGUAACGUGUGGGAACCUGCCCUUAGGCUCGGAAUAACACUCCGUAAGGGGUGCUAAUAUCGGAUAACGUAUUCGGACACAAGAUUCAUCGUCUUUGGAUAGGCACGGGAUGGUUUAGCUUGUCGGUAGGGUAAAAGCCUAUCAAGGCGAAGAUAAGUAGCUGGUCUGAGAGGAUGAAAAGCCACACUGGGACUGAGAAAAGGCGAAGACUGCUAAGGGAGGAAGCAGGGGGGAAUAUUGGACAAUGGGCGCAAGUCUGAUCCAGACAUAUCGCGUGGGUGAAGAAGGCUUUCGGGUGGUAAAGCCAUUUUGUUGGGAAAGAAAAGCAGCAGGUUAAUACCCCGCUGUUCUGACGGUACCCAAAGAAUAAGCACCGGCUAACUUCGUG